This 184-nucleotide small nucleolar RNA is filed under the name Propithecus coquereli (Coquerel's sifaka). RNAcentral's name for it is "Small Cajal body specific RNA 16 (ENSPCOG00000002166.1)". It matches the Rfam family "Small Cajal body specific RNA 16". From Rfam's summary of the family: scaRNAs are a specific class of small nuclear RNAs which localise to the Cajal bodies and guide the modification of RNA polymerase II transcribed spliceosomal RNAs U1, U2, U4, U5 and U12. The record is from Rfam by way of RNAcentral. Lineage: Eukaryota; Metazoa; Chordata; Mammalia; Primates; Indriidae.
AUGGUCUGGGGAAAGGCUCCUGUGUUGUUGAACCCGCGCAGUUGUGGGUGCAGCCUUGUACCAGGCAGCCCAACCCUGACCUAAAGCAAAUUCCCAGAAGUCUUUCCUGGGAUUUGAAUUUGCAGUAACAGGUGUGAGCAUUCUAGCAGCAGUUUGAUGAUCAUGUAUGAUACUGCAAACAGGA